GGGUUGUGAGGUUAAGCGACUAAGCGUACACGGUGGAUGCCCUGGCAGUCAGAGGCGAUGAAGGACGUGCUAAUCUGCGAUAAGCGUCGGUAAGGUGAUAUGAACCGUUAUAACCGGCGAUUUCCGAAUGGGGAAACCCAGUGUGUUUCGACACACUAUCAUUAACUGAAUCCAUAGGUUAAUGAGGCGAACCGGGGGAACUGAAACAUCUAAGUACCCCGAGGAAAAGAAAUCAACCGAGAUUCCCCCAGUAGCGGCGAGCGAACGGGGAGGAGCCCAGAGUCUGAAUCAGUGUGUGUGUUAGUGGAAGCGUCUGGAAAGGCGCGCGAUACAGGGUGACAGCCCCGUACACAAAAAUGCACAUAUUGUGAGCUCGAUGAGUAGGGCGGGACACGUGGUAUCCUGUCUGAAUAUGGGGGGACCAUCCUCCAAGGCUAAAUACUCCUGACUGACCGAUAGUGAACCAGUACCGUGAGGGAAAGGCGAAAAGAACCCCGGCGAGGGGAGUGAAAAAGAACCUGAAACCGUGUACGUACAAGCAGUGGGAGCCUCUUUUAUGGGGUGACUGCGUACCUUUUGUAUAAUGGGUCAGCGACUUAUAUUCUGUAGCAAGGUUAACCGAAUAGGGGAGCCGAAGGGAAACCGAGUCUUAACUGGGCGUUAAGUUGCAGGGUAUAGACCCGAAACCCGGUGAUCUAGCCAUGGGCAGGUUGAAGGUUGGGUAACACUAACUGGAGGACCGAACCGACUAAUGUUGAAAAAUUAGCGGAUGACUUGUGGCUGGGGGUGAAAGGCCAAUCAAACCGGGAGAUAGCUGGUUCUCCCCGAAAGCUAUUUAGGUAGCGCCUCGUGAAUUCAUCUCCGGGGGUAGAGCACUGUUUCGGCAAGGGGGUCAUCCCGACUUACCAACCCGAUGCAAACUGCGAAUACCGGAGAAUGUUAUCACGGGAGACACACGGCGGGUGCUAACGUCCGUCGUGAAGAGGGAAACAACCCAGACCGCCAGCUAAGGUCCCAAAGUCAUGGUUAAGUGGGAAACGAUGUGGGAAGGCCCAGACAGCCAGGAUGUUGGCUUAGAAGCAGCCAUCAUUUAAAGAAAGCGUAAUAGCUCACUGGUCGAGUCGGCCUGCGCGGAAGAUGUAACGGGGCUAAACCAUGCACCGAAGCUGCGGCAGCGACGCUUAUGCGUUGUUGGGUAGGGGAGCGUUCUGUAAGCCUGUGAAGGUGUGCUGUGAGGCAUGCUGGAGGUAUCAGAAGUGCGAAUGCUGACAUAAGUAACGAUAAAGCGGGUGAAAAGCCCGCUCGCCGGAAGACCAAGGGUUCCUGUCCAACGUUAAUCGGGGCAGGGUGAGUCGACCCCUAAGGCGAGGCCGAAAGGCGUAGUCGAUGGGAAACAGGUUAAUAUUCCUGUACUUGGUGUUACUGCGAAGGGGGGACGGAGAAGGCUAUGUUGGCCGGGCGACGGUUGUCCCGGUUUAAGCGUGUAGGCUGGUUUUCCAGGCAAAUCCGGAAAAUCAAGGCUGAGGCGUGAUGACGAGGCACUACGGUGCUGAAGCAACAAAUGCCCUGCUUCCAGGAAAAGCCUCUAAGCAUCAGGUAACAUCAAAUCGUACCCCAAACCGACACAGGUGGUCAGGUAGAGAAUACCAAGGCGCUUGAGAGAACUCGGGUGAAGGAACUAGGCAAAAUGGUGCCGUAACUUCGGGAGAAGGCACGCUGAUAUGUAGGUGAAGUCCCUUGCGGAUGGAGCUGAAAUCAGUCGAAGAUACCAGCUGGCUGCAACUGUUUAUUAAAAACACAGCACUGUGCAAACACGAAAGUGGACGUAUACGGUGUGACGCCUGCCCGGUGCCGGAAGGUUAAUUGAUGGGGUCAGCGCAAGCGAAGCUCUUGAUCGAAGCCCCGGUAAACGGCGGCCGUAACUAUAACGGUCCUAAGGUAGCGAAAUUCCUUGUCGGGUAAGUUCCGACCUGCACGAAUGGCGUAAUGAUGGCCAGGCUGUCUCCACCCGAGACUCAGUGAAAUUGAACUCGCUGUGAAGAUGCAGUGUACCCGCGGCAAGACGGAAAGACCCCGUGAACCUUUACUAUAGCUUGACACUGAACAUUGAGCCUUGAUGUGUAGGAUAGGUGGGAGGCUUUGAAGUGUGGACGCCAGUCUGCAUGGAGCCGACCUUGAAAUACCACCCUUUAAUGUUUGAUGUUCUAACGUUGACCCGUAAUCCGGGUUGCGGACAGUGUCUGGUGGGUAGUUUGACUGGGGCGGUCUCCUCCUAAAGAGUAACGGAGGAGCACGAAGGUUGGCUAAUCCUGGUCGGACAUCAGGAGGUUAGUGCAAUGGCAUAAGCCAGCUUGACUGCGAGCGUGACGGCGCGAGCAGGUGCGAAAGCAGGUCAUAGUGAUCCGGUGGUUCUGAAUGGAAGGGCCAUCGCUCAACGGAUAAAAGGUACUCCGGGGAUAACAGGCUGAUACCGCCCAAGAGUUCAUAUCGACGGCGGUGUUUGGCACCUCGAUGUCGGCUCAUCACAUCCUGGGGCUGAAGUAGGUCCCAAGGGUAUGGCUGUUCGCCAUUUAAAGUGGUACGCGAGCUGGGUUUAGAACGUCGUGAGACAGUUCGGUCCCUAUCUGCCGUGGGCGCUGGAGAACUGAGGGGGGCUGCUCCUAGUACGAGAGGACCGGAGUGGACGCAUCACUGGUGUUCGGGUUGUCAUGCCAAUGGCACUGCCCGGUAGCUAAAUGCGGAAGAGAUAAGUGCUGAAAGCAUCUAAGCACGAAACUUGCCCCGAGAUGAGUUCUCCCUAACCCUUUAAGGGUCCUGAAGGAACGUUGAAGACGACGACGUUGAUAGGCCGGGUGUGUAAGCGCAGCGAUGCGUUGAGCUAACCGGUACUAAUGAACCGUGAGGCUUAACCUUACAACGCCGAAGCUGUU
RNAcentral lists this ribosomal RNA (2930 nucleotides) under Escherichia coli. RNAcentral describes it as "bacterial LSU rRNA". It matches the Rfam family "Bacterial large subunit ribosomal RNA". Lineage: Bacteria; Pseudomonadati; Pseudomonadota; Gammaproteobacteria; Enterobacterales; Enterobacteriaceae. The record is from RNAcentral.